RNAcentral lists this ribosomal RNA (506 nucleotides) under uncultured bacterium. RNAcentral describes it as "partial 16S ribosomal RNA". It matches the Rfam family "Bacterial small subunit ribosomal RNA", at positions 29 to 523 of the family's 1533-position model. The record is from RNAcentral.
AGUGAACGCUGGCGGUAGGCCUAACACAUGCAAGUCGAACGGCAGCACAGGAGAGCUUGCUCUCUGGGUGGCGAGUGGCGGACGGGUGAGGAAUACAUCGGAAUCUACUCUGUCGUGGGGGAUAACGUAGGGAAACUUACGCUAAUACCGCAUACGACCUACGGGUGAAAGCAAGGGGCCUUCGGGCCUUGCGCGAUUGAAUGAGCCGAUGUCGGAUUAGCUAGUUGGCGGGGUAAAGGCCCACCAAGGCGACGAUCCGUAGCUGGUCUGAGAGGAUGAUCAGCCACACUGGAACUGAGACACGGUCCAGACUCCUACGGGAGGCAGCAGUGGGGAAUAUUGGACAAUGGGCGCAAGCCUGAUCCAGCCAUACCGCGUGGGUGAAGAAGGCCUUCGGGUUGUAAAGCCCUUUUGUUGGGAAAGAAAUCCAGCUGGCUAAUACCCGGUUGGGAUGACGGUACCCAAAGAAUAAGCACCGGCUAACUUCGUGCCAGCCGCCGCGGUAA